GCCUCUCUAGCUCAGUGGUAGAGCAGCCGCCUUGUAAGCGGCAGGUCGUCAGUUCAAUCCUGACGGGGGGCUCCA
This 75-nucleotide transfer RNA is filed under the name Actinobacteria bacterium BACL4 MAG-120820-bin23. Its description in RNAcentral is "tRNA-Thr". It matches the Rfam family "tRNA". From Rfam's summary of the family: Transfer RNA (tRNA) molecules are approximately 80 nucleotides in length. Their secondary structure includes four short double-helical elements and three loops (D, anti-codon, and T loops). Lineage: Bacteria; Bacillati; Actinomycetota; Actinomycetes. The record is from RNAcentral. RNAcentral also lists the same sequence under 15 other names.